This 74-nucleotide transfer RNA is filed under the name Candidatus Methanomethylophilaceae archaeon. RNAcentral's name for it is "tRNA-Cys". It matches the Rfam family "tRNA". From Rfam's summary of the family: Transfer RNA (tRNA) molecules are approximately 80 nucleotides in length. Their secondary structure includes four short double-helical elements and three loops (D, anti-codon, and T loops). Lineage: Archaea; Methanobacteriati; Thermoplasmatota; Thermoplasmata; Methanomassiliicoccales; Methanomethylophilaceae. The record is from RNAcentral.
GUCGGGAUAACAUAGGGGCUAUGUGGCGGACUGCAGAUCCGCAUAGGGGGGUUCGAUUCCCUCUCCCGACUCCA